RNAcentral lists this ribosomal RNA (467 nucleotides) under uncultured bacterium. Its description in RNAcentral is "partial 16S ribosomal RNA". It matches the Rfam family "Bacterial small subunit ribosomal RNA", at positions 28 to 507 of the family's 1533-position model. The record is from RNAcentral.
GACGAACGCUGGCGGCGUGCUUAACACAUGCAAGUCGAACGGAAAGGCUCCAGCUUGCUGGAGUACUCGAGUGGCGAACGGGUGAGUAACACGUUGGUAAUCUGCCCUGCACUCUGGGAUAAGCCUGGGAAACUGGGUCUAAUACUGGAUAUGACCUUUCUCCUUAUGGGGUUUGGUGGAAAGUUUUUCGGUGUAGGAUGAGCCCGCGGCCUAUCAGCUUGUUGGUGGGGUGAUGGCCUACCAAGGCGACGACGGGUAGCCGGCCUGAGAGGGUGAUCGGACACAUUGGGACUGAGAUACGGCCCAGACUCCUACGGGAGGCAGCAGUGGGGAAUAUUGCACAAUGGGCGGAAGCCAGAUGCAGCGACGCCGCGUGAGGGAUGACGGCCUUCGGGUUGUAAACCUCUUUCAGCAGGGACGAAGCGUAAGUGACGGUACCUGCAGAAGAAGCACCGGCUAACUAUGUG